RNAcentral lists this microRNA precursor (168 nucleotides) under Pelobates cultripes (western spadefoot toad). The record is from RNAcentral. Lineage: Eukaryota; Metazoa; Chordata; Amphibia; Anura; Pelobatidae.
GCAGACACAUUCCAGCCAAUCAGCAGCAGACCCUCCCUCCCAGACUCUCCCACCUCCUAGACAGCAUCCAUUUUACAUUCAUUGUGAAGCUGCAUUCUUAGUGAGCUGUCCAGGAGGUGGGAGGGUCUGGGAGGGAGGGUCUGCUGCUGAUUGGCUGGAAUGUGUCUG